Molecule: ribosomal RNA, 317 nt
Filed under: uncultured Anaerolineaceae bacterium
Lineage: Bacteria; Bacillati; Chloroflexota; Anaerolineae; Anaerolineales; Anaerolineaceae
Description: bacterial SSU rRNA
Rfam family: Bacterial small subunit ribosomal RNA
Source: RNAcentral
UGUCGUCAGCUCGUGUCGUGAGAUGUUCGGUUAAGUCCGCUAACGAGCGCAACCCUCGCUGUGUGUUAUAUGUGUCACACGGGACUGCCGGUAAAAGCCGGAGGAAGGUGAGGAUGAUGUCAAGUCAGCAUGACCUUUAUAUCCAGGGCUACACACACGCUACAAUGGUCUGUACAAUGGGUAGCCAAGCCGCGAGGCGGAGCCAAUCCUGAAAGCAGGCCUCAGUUCAGAUUGCAGUCUGCAACUCGACUGCAUGAAGCCGGAGUUGCUAGUAACCGCAGGUCAGCAAUACUGCGGUGAAUACGUUCCCGGGUCUU